GGGCCUUGUGAAUGCUGACAUUGUGAGAAUUCUGAAGACUUCCACAUGGCAUUUCUGAGCCAGAAAUGACAGUUGUGACAUAGGCAAGAGGAAUGAUCCCUUAACCUCUCCAUCCCUCCCUUCAUUUUCUAACCCAUUUGCUUCUUCUGAAUUACAUUGGUCUCUUCUCUCUUUUCCUUAGGCCUUCCUCUUCUGCCUGAUUUUCUCCAUCCAGUAUAUUUCUGACAGAAGAGGAAGACUCUGUGGUUGAACAAGUAAAUAAAAGGAUUCAGCUCAUCAUUGGGCUGUCAGAUGAAAUAGCAGAAUUUCUCCACGUAGGAGUUAUCUGGGGCAACAUGGGAGUUAGACAAUGACCCUUUGGAGCCUGAUGAGACAGGGAAUCAUGUGGCCACAUUCAUAAGUUAUGUAAGUAUUCUCAGUACUGGAUUGCCCUAUAGACACACCAAGCCUAGGCUAGAGGGGUUCCCACUGAAUCAAAUUAUUGAGGGUUUGAAUCCAGGAAUUUAUAUUUUAGAAACACUCCAGAAAAUUCUAGUGAUCAACCUGGUGUAGGAGCUACUAUCACUUAGUGAUUAGAAGUUGAGGGAGAAAGAGGGAAAGGAAAGAGUCACAGAAUCACCUGGAGGAUUUUUCAUACUAUACAGCACUUCUUUAUUCUAUUACUCCUUAGGUUGUCAAUUUCUCCAUUAAAGAGUAAAGAUCUAGAACUGUUUGUUUUGUUGAUGAGGUGUGUUUCCUCCUCUGGACUAAGACUAAUUUUUUAAUUCUUAAAAUAAUUAAUUUUUAAAAAGAUUUUAUUUAUUUAUUUAUUUUAGAGCACACAAGUGGUGAGAGGAGCAAAAAGGGAGGGAGAGGAAAGGGAAAGAAUCUCAAGGAGACUCUGCACUGAGCAUAGAACCCGACAUGGGAUUUGAUCUCACAACCCCAAGACCACAACCUGAGUCGAAACCACGAGUAGGAUGCUUAACUGACUGAGCCACCCAGGCACCCCAAUAAUUAUUUGAUUUUUGAGCUAAUUUUUAAAAUAAGCAAUGAGGAAGAAAAGCUUCAGGAUUCCUAGGUACUUACACCAGGCAUUUUUCUAAUGUCUGUCUUUCUCUACCCAAAAUUAUAUCAGAUAAUACUCAAAUACUUUUGCACUGCUUUUAAGAUUUUUUAAUUCCAAAGUUAUAGCAUAUUUAUGCCUCUCCUUUGGUAAGAGACAGUUCCAUAGAAUUUUGCCCUUAAGUGAUGAUUGCCUCAAAGAGGAAAAAUUUCUGACUCAUUCUUACACAUUGCUUUUGAAAAGAAAUGACUGGCAGUAUUGAAAUUCUAUCAUACUUCUUUAACCAAUUUGAGGUUGGUACAAUAUGAAGACCCUCUCUUCUCUUUUAAUAGUAGUAUGAUUGAUGAGCAGAAAAUCAACCAAAUAAACAAACAAACUUGAUUUGGACA
RNAcentral lists this long non-coding RNA (1434 nucleotides) under Vulpes vulpes (red fox). Its description in RNAcentral is "lncRNA (ENSVVUG00000024638.1)". Lineage: Eukaryota; Metazoa; Chordata; Mammalia; Carnivora; Canidae. The record is from RNAcentral.